GCGCGGCCCGCCCCGCCCCUGGCGGUGGCCGGGGCGUCAGGCCUGGCGGGCGUUCGGGCAGCUGGCGGCGUGAUCGGCGGGGCGGCGGGAGUGAGGGUGCCAUACUGCUGUCAGCAUUGUCAUCCACCCACCACUUCCGCUGCCACUCUGCUCUCUUGCAGACGCCAUACCACGGCAAGCAUGGAGCCCGUUCAGAUCACCGCAGCAGUUAUGACGGCUCUAAACACCACGCGCAUUAUCCAGCAGUAUAUGCAGAACCAGAACCUGCAAAAGCAGGUGAGUAGGCAACGACAGCGCAGUGAGCAGAGUGAUGAGGACAUGGACAAAGACUUCUCUGAAAGUAUGGGCUCCGGCAGUGUGGACAUCAUCGUGGUAAUGGGGCAGGUUCAUGCCGUGGAACACCGAUUCUGGGCCCAGGAAACAAGCACAGAUUGGUGGGACCGCAUAGUGUUGCAAGUCUGGGAUGAUUCCCAAUGGCUGCAAAACUUUCGCAUGCGUAAGGGCACUUUCAUGGAACUUUGUGACUUGCUUUCCCCUGCCCUGAAGCGCCAGAAUACCAAGAUGAGAGCAGCCCUCACAGUUCACAAGCGAGUGGUGUUAGGCCUGUGGAAGCUUGCAACGCCAGACAGCUACUGAUCAGUCGGGAAUCAAUUUGGAGUAGGCAAAUCUACUGUGGGGGCUGCUGUGAUCCAAGUAGCCAACACAAUCACUGAGGUGCUGCUACUAAGUGUAGUGACUCUGGGAAAUGUGCAGGUCAUCGUGGAUGGCUUUGCUGCAAUGGGAUUCCCUAACUGUGAUGGGGCAAUAGACGGAACCGAUAUCCCUGUCUUGGGACCAGAGCACCAAGGCAGCGAGUUCAUAAACCGAAAGGGGUACUUUUCAACGGUGCUGCAAGCACUGGUGGAUCACAAGGGACGUUUCACCAACAUCAACGUGGGAUGGCCAGGAAAAGUACAUGACACUUGCAUUUUCAGGAACUCUGGUCUGUUUCAACAGCUGCAGCAAGGGACUUUCUUCCCAGACCUGAAAAUAACCGUUGGGGCCCAGCCUACCCGUUAAUGCUAUGGCUCAUGAAGCCAUACACAGGGAGCCUGGACAGUAGUCAGGAACUGUUCAACAAUAGGCUGAGCAAGUGCAGAAUGGUAGUAGAAUGUGCAUUUGGACAUUUAAAAGUGCGCUGGUGCAGUACACUGACUCGGUUAGACCUCAGCGAAACCAAUAUUCCCAUUGUUAUUACUGCUUGCUGUGCACUCCACAAUAUCUGUGAGAGUAAGGCGGAGACAUUUAUGGCGGGGUGGGAGAUUGAAGAAAAUCGCCUGGCUGCUGAUUACGUGCAGCCAGACAACAGGGCGGUUAGAAGAGUACAGCAGGGUGCGGGUGCGCAUCAGAGAAGCUUUAAAAACCAGUUUCAUGACUGGACAGGCUACAGUGUGAACGUUCUGUUUGUUUCUCCUUGAUGAAAACCCACGCCGCUUGGUUCACUCUACUUCCCAGUAAGCUAACUCCCCUCCCCUCCCCCCUUCAGUCACCGCUUGCAGAGGCAAUAAAGUCAUUGUUGCUUCCAA
Caretta caretta (loggerhead turtle) is the source of this 1565-nucleotide long non-coding RNA. RefSeq lists it as uncharacterized. Lineage: Eukaryota; Metazoa; Chordata; Testudines; Cheloniidae. The record is from RefSeq and is a predicted model, not a curated record.